RNAcentral lists this ribosomal RNA (301 nucleotides) under uncultured bacterium. RNAcentral's name for it is "partial 16S ribosomal RNA". It matches the Rfam family "Bacterial small subunit ribosomal RNA", at positions 509 to 809 of the family's 1533-position model. The record is from RNAcentral.
CAGCCGCCGCGGUAAUACGGAGGGGGCUAGCGUUGUUCGGAAUUACUGGGCGUAAAGCGCACGUAGGCGGCUUGGUAAGUUAGAGGUGAAAGCCCGGAGCUCAACUCCGGAAUUGCCUUUAAGACUGCCGAGCUAGUAGGUGAGAGAGGUAAGUGGAAUUCCGAGUGUAGAGGUGAAAUUCGUAGAUAUUCGGAAGAACACCAGUGGCGAAGGCGGCUUACUGGCUCAUUCUAGACGCUGAGGUGCGAAAGCGUGGGGAGCAAACAGGAUUAGAUACCCCGGUAGUCCCUGUCUCUUAUAA